This 1026-nucleotide ribosomal RNA is filed under the name Vibrio vulnificus. Its description in RNAcentral is "bacterial SSU rRNA". It matches the Rfam family "Bacterial small subunit ribosomal RNA", at positions 502 to 1527 of the family's 1533-position model. The record is from RNAcentral. Lineage: Bacteria; Pseudomonadati; Pseudomonadota; Gammaproteobacteria; Vibrionales; Vibrionaceae.
UCCGUGCCAGCAGCCGCGGUAAUACGGAGGGUGCGAGCGUUAAUCGGAAUUACUGGGCGUAAAGCGCAUGCAGGUGGUUUGUUAAGUCAGAUGUGAAAGCCCGGGGCUCAACCUCGGAACUGCAUUUGAAACUGGCAGACUAGAGUACUGUAGAGGGGGGUAGAAUUUCAGGUGUAGCGGUGAAAUGCGUAGAGAUCUGAAGGAAUACCGGUGGCGAAGGCGGCCCCCUGGACAGAUACUGACACUCAGAUGCGAAAGCGUGGGGAGCAAACAGGAUUAGAUACCCUGGUAGUCCACGCUGUAAACGAUGUCUACUUGGAGGUUGUGGCCUUGAGCCGUGGCUUUCGGAGCUAACGCGUUAAGUAGACCGCCUGGGGAGUACGGUCGCAAGAUUAAAACUCAAAUGAAUUGACGGGGGCCCGCACAAGCGGUGGAGCAUGUGGUUUAAUUCGAUGCAACGCGAAGAACCUUACCUACUCUUGACAUCCAGAGAAUCUAGCGGAGACGCUGGAGUGCCUUCGGGAACUCUGAGACAGGUGCUGCAUGGCUGUCGUCAGCUCGUGUUGUGAAAUGUUGGGUUAAGUCCCGCAACGAGCGCAACCCUUAUCCUUGUUUGCCAGCGAGUAAUGUCGGGAACUCCAGGGAGACUGCCGGUGAUAAACCGGAGGAAGGUGGGGACGACGUCAAGUCAUCAUGGCCCUUACGAGUAGGGCUACACACGUGCUACAAUGGCGCAUACAGAGGGCGGCCAACUUGCGAAAGUGAGCGAAUCCCAAAAAGUGCGUCGUAGUCCGGAUUGGAGUCUGCAACUCGACUCCAUGAAGUCGGAAUCGCUAGUAAUCGUGGAUCAGAAUGCCACGGUGAAUACGUUCCCGGGCCUUGUACACACCGCCCGUCACACCAUGGGAGUGGGCUGCAAAAGAAGUGGGUAGUUUAACCUUCGGGAGGACGCUCACCACUUUGUGGUUCAUGACUGGGGUGAAGUCGUAACAAGGUAGCGCUAGGGGAACCUGGCGCUGGAUCACC